Paramacrobiotus metropolitanus is the source of this 684-nucleotide long non-coding RNA. RefSeq lists it as uncharacterized. The record is from RefSeq and is a predicted model, not a curated record. The transcript is spliced from 3 exons. NCBI's taxonomy places the organism in Eukaryota, Metazoa, Tardigrada, Eutardigrada, Parachela, Macrobiotidae.
AAACAAACUUCCUGCAGGGCCGACCAGCGGGCGAAAGUUUGCAAAAGUAUCAUCCGGCAAGCGGUCGGGUCCACCUGGCUCUCCCCAGUGUUGAGUGGCCGCUUGCAGGAUCGCGUGCAGGUCAGGCAUCAGAGUGGAAUCUGCGAGCUGCUGCAGGUUGUCGUGGAUCAGGGCAUAGGAUGGCAGCAGCGAAUCGCCCUGUCGGCGUUCCCUACGUAAAACAUACCCAGCACCAAGUGAAUUCUGCAUUAUUCGGUAAGCAAGUUCUACACCACAACUCAACGAAAAUCCGACGUAUUGACUAUUCGCGGGCUAUUCAAUUUAGUGGACAAGCAUAGGACUUGCUGUUGGCCGCAUUACGCUCCAGAAUCGGUUCACCGACAUCCGGAUGCACAAGCGGCUGGGUCCAGCUGGACAAUGGCAGCGUGAUACUGCGCUGUUUGUGCCGGAUGAUAUUCUGCUUGGCCCGGUUCGACCAUCACUCCAUGACACUAUCAAUGGCGGUGUUCCCCUUCCACCGGCAAAAUGCACGCGCUUGGGAGCCUUAUGCAGAUCCUGCACAAAUGGCUACUGGGUAGUCUGAAUUCCGCCGCUAGGACCACGAACGCGGUACAACGCCCACUUAAAUACUUUGUGAGGCUUGGGAGAGCAAUAAACGCACUGCCUUAUGCUGAUGCAGUGCAG